Molecule: ribosomal RNA, 400 nt
Filed under: phytoplankton environmental sample
Lineage: Eukaryota
Description: partial small subunit ribosomal RNA
Rfam family: Eukaryotic small subunit ribosomal RNA
Source: RNAcentral
AGCUCCAAUAGCGUAUUGUAAAGUUGUUGCAGUUAAAAAGCUCGUAGUUGGAUUUCGGGCUCGGCGACGACGGUCAGCCGCAAGGUAUGUCACUGUCGGCGUUGGCCUUCUUCGCGCAGACUUCGCGUGCUCUUAACUGAGUGUGCGUCGGAUACGCGACGUUUACUUUGAAAAAAUUAGAGUGUUCAAAGCAGGCUCGUGCUUGGAUACAUUAGCAUGGAAUAAUGAGAUAGGGCCACCGCGGUCUAUUUUGUUGGUUUGCACGUUGUGGUAAUGAUUAACAGGAACGGUUGGGGGUAUUCGUAUUCAAUUGUCAGAGGUGAAAUUCUUGGAUUUGUGGAAGACGAACUACUGCGAAAGCAUUUACCAAGGAUGUUUUCAUUAAUCAAGAACGAAAGUA